AAAUCUUCUCGGCUUUUUAGCUAAGAUCAUGUUUUUUAUAUUGUUCUUAUCAGAGUAACUCCUGAUAUUCGUCGCAAGACGAAGGACUCUAAAUUAUUGAACAUGGACGUUAUCCUGGAGUUCCACUUUUCCAGGGUAGCGUCCUCCUU
Molecule: small nuclear RNA, 149 nt
Organism: Strigomonas culicis
Lineage: Eukaryota; Euglenozoa; Kinetoplastea; Trypanosomatida; Trypanosomatidae
Rfam family: U2 spliceosomal RNA
About the family: U2 is a small nuclear RNA (snRNA) component of the spliceosome (involved in pre-mRNA splicing).
Source: Rfam